CCAACUUUUAACCUUUUCAGAGUUCAUUUGAAAUGCUUUUCAAUUUCAGGGUAUUAUAGCUGAAAAAAUCAGUAAAUGCAUGAAAAAUAACAAAUGAAGUCAGAAAGGGUUGAAAAUUGAUGAUGUGGCUUUGAAUGGUGCAUUUUGAGCAUAUAAAAACUAUGGAGUUCAAAUAAGUUCAAAAAAUGAAAUCCUUUUGUAACAGAUGAGUUUCCGUAUGAAACCCUGAUACUUCGAAAGAGAUUGUCCGUUUUGUACACGAAGUGCAUCCAGUUUUUUCCGUAAGCCUCUCUACUUUCUUGCACAUGCUAUGUGGGUGAAAUGAUGAUACCAUGCCAACUUUUAACCUUUUCAGAGUUCAUUUGAAAUGCUUUUCAAUUUCAGGGUCUUAUAGCUGAAAAAAUCAGUAAAUGCAUGAAAAAUAACAAAUGAAGUCAGAAAGGGUUGAAAAUUGAUGAUGUGGCUUUGAAUGGUGCAUUUUGAACAUAGAAAAACUAUGGAGUUCAAAUAAGUUCAAAAAACAAGAAAUCCUUUUGUAACAGACGAGUUUCCGUAUGAAACCCUGAUUCUUCGAAAG
Molecule: long non-coding RNA, 577 nt
Filed under: Triticum aestivum (bread wheat)
Lineage: Eukaryota; Viridiplantae; Streptophyta; Magnoliopsida; Poales; Poaceae
Description: long non-coding RNA (TAES_LNC012984)
Source: RNAcentral